UUGUUUUGGCGUCUCUCUCUUCAGAUAUAUAAAUUGCUGUGGAUCUUAAGCUACCUAAGUAAAAACGUCGAUUGCCUGAUUGCAAACACUUUAACUAACAAUGGCUAAACUAUAUCUAAUUAUCUUCUUAAUGUUUGGUGUGUUUGUUGAAAAAAUUGUCAGUUACACAGCAGCAGAUGCAACAUGGGGAAAACGUGAUGAAAAGGUGCAGGGUCACGAUUUGUGCGAAAUGUGUAAAACGGCGAGAAAAAUAUGCUCCAGAAUGAAAUUAAAAAAGUCGAAACUGUUUCAACCAAUACAGAAUAAGCGAAAGACAGCAUAUGAUUAUGCCAUCCGCCAAGCCAGAGUAUAAUAUUGCACAUCACAUAUGUAAAGAAUACGACUGUAAAUGAUUGAAUGUUAUAUAUGCAACUAACAGAAAUUUAAUGCUAUGAUAAUAAAAACAUCAAAUCGAGAUUAAACAUAAA
This is a long non-coding RNA of Xenia sp. Carnegie-2017, 467 nucleotides long. RefSeq lists it as uncharacterized. The record is from RefSeq and is a predicted model, not a curated record. The transcript has 2 exons. NCBI's taxonomy places the organism in Eukaryota, Metazoa, Cnidaria, Anthozoa, Malacalcyonacea, Xeniidae.